AUACGGAGGGUGCAAGCGUUACUCGGAAUCACUGGGCGUAAAGCGCGCGCAGGCGGUCUUUUAAGUUGGAUGUGAAAGCCUACGGCUCAACCGUAGAACUGCAUCCAAAACUAUUAGACUAGAGUGUGGGAGAGGAAGAUGGAAUUAGUUGUGUAGGGGUAGAAUCCGUAGAGAUAACUAGGAAUACCAAAAGCGAAGGCAAUCUUCUGGAACACUACUGACGCUGAGGCGCGAAAGCGUGGGGAGCAAACAGGAUUAGAAACCCUAGUAGUCC
Molecule: ribosomal RNA, 274 nt
Filed under: uncultured bacterium
Lineage: Bacteria
Description: partial 16S ribosomal RNA
Rfam family: Bacterial small subunit ribosomal RNA
Source: RNAcentral